CGGCGGACGGGUGAGUAACGCGUGGGCAACCUGCCUUACACAGGGGGAUAACAGUUAGAAAUGACUGCUAAUACCGCAUAAGACCACAAAACCGCAUGGUUUGGUGGUAAAAACUCCGGUGGUGUAAGAUGGGCCCGCGUCUGAUUAGGUAGUUGGUGGGGUAACGGCCUACCAAGCCGACGAUCAGUAGCCGACCUGAGAGGGUGACCGGCCACAUUGGGACUGAGACACGGCCCAGACUCCUACGGGAGGCAGCAG
Molecule: ribosomal RNA, 258 nt
Filed under: uncultured bacterium
Lineage: Bacteria
Description: partial 16S ribosomal RNA
Rfam family: Bacterial small subunit ribosomal RNA
Source: RNAcentral